UCAACGUUUAAUUAUACAGGUACUUGUCUGUGAUGGCGAGUAAAUACCUCCAAAUAAUAGAUUUUGGGUUACGUUUUCCAACUGAACACCAUGGAAUCAAGCGAGAUGAUCUACACGGUUAACUUGAUGGACUUACAGACUAACAACUUCUGCAACGGUACUCCUUUUACUCCUCGCUUUCCAUYUUGUAUGUAUUAUUUGAGAAGAAGAAAACUUAAGCGACCACGUUUUGGAGGCAACUGAGUCAUCUCAACUCUUCCAAAGAAAACCGUUUGAAGGCCUCUCUUCUCUCCUGUCAGCCUCUAAACGGUUCACGUGAAUGAAGUAUAAAAUGCAGACGAUCAUCUCAAUCAUCUCGUGUAUUCCUUCUACUAAAUCCAUGAUGUAUGGAAAAUGAACUGAUCUUGACACAAAGUUUAGAAACAAGGAACUUUCUCAUUACCCUCGUCUCUUUCCUGUACUUGGUUAAACAGCAGCAGUUGUAUAAUGUCGUACACCAUUCUAAACAACUCGUGCAAGGCUCUCAGUAGGUUCAUCAGUGGUACAAUAACAGCUUCGUUUGGAUCACUCAUCGUGUCCAGUGCUGCAAUGUAGUGCUUGAAUACUGUACGUACGUUGAAAAUCUUGAAAUGAGAAAAUCCCAAAGUCUACUGUGUUUUCCCCCCAGACUAUUAAAUACCGCAUAUAAGUGGUCCUCUAAUUGGUUUAUAUCAGCUAUGUGUUUUUUCCCUAGCCUUGGACAACUAACAAAGUAGUUUCCCUCCAAGUUCAUCGAAUAAUAUAAUCCAUUCAUACUUUGACCAGGUCUUUUAUACAGGUGGGCGUCUCUACCAAAACAAUGGAUCUAUGUACUGAUAUCCGAUUCGUUAUCCAGUACCGAGUAGGGUGAAUCAAUGCUAUUCUGGGAAAGUCCCGAAGACCGCUUCGCUUAAAGUGGCGUUAACCUGGCGCUUAAACUACCUACUGAGGGUAGGUGGGUCCACUAACAACGACAAUAAUAAAAAAAACCUUAGAGGGAGGGGAGGCACCAAGGAGGGUGUUAUAACAACAUGUAAACCUUGAGAGAAAACCAUGGAAGAAUUUUCGACCAAUUUGUACGAUGAUGAAAGCGGAAGUGGACCCACCUACCCUCAGUCCGCCUAAUCUUCACCUCCCCCUGUUUACAGGAUAUUUUUCCAAAGUUCGUUUUCAGAGUACAAAAUCAAAAUUUCGAAAAGUCAUUUCAAAUAUUUAUUUUAAUUUUUAAUUUUUGAAUUCGAAAAUUGAAAAUUGACAUUGGUGAGAUAAUAUUCGAAUUUUGACAUGAUCAUAAAAAAUGAAAAUUCAAAAAUCAGGCAAAUUUCAUAUGUCCAAUUCACGGCAACUAAAUUGAAAAGCUCUUUGUGGAGUGUUACACGGACCAAUUAGACUACUAGUCAUCUUCGCGGAGCACGAAGACAACUAAUAAUAUAAUGAUCACUUGUCAAGAUAAUUUGCUCUGUUGCAUUUUUAUACGCGGCUCCUAAAGUUAUAACGCUGCUUUUUGGGCUGAAUCCGAGCCCAAAGCGACGAUAACUUUGAAAAUAAGCAAAACAUCAAAAAUUGGAUUGGUUUUAGCUUUUAGUAAAAGCUAAUAUUAUUUUAGAAAAAAAUUCCUGUGCUAUAUAUAUAAAUAAAUAUAAAUAGACACAUUCAAGAAGUAGAUAGUGUGAGCCGAUCAAAAGAAAUUAGGUUUUUGCCACAUUAAUGAUAAUAGUAAAUUAGGUUAAUUUUUUAUCGAAAUUGGGCUGAGGUGUAGCUUAUAAUCCUAUACUGGUGAGUAUUGAGAAUAUGAAAUCAUCAGCAAAAUGGCCGCCAUUUGAUAAGAACAUAGAUAUUUGUAAAAGGAAAGCGACAUUUCACUUUAGUUUAACUGAGAGCUUCCAAUCCAUGCCAAAAAAAAAACAAUACUCACAACACCAAACAAAAAAUUACCGGCAAGUUAGAAAUUUGAUCAUAGUAAUAUUUUAAAUUUGUAACACACAUUUCAAAUGCUAACUAGUUAUUUGGUUAUUUUUUAGUCGUCUUUGAGAAAUGGGGACUACCAAUUAAUUUUUUCAGUAAAAUAUGACAUUUUUGA
Molecule: long non-coding RNA, 2098 nt
Organism: Actinia tenebrosa (Australian red waratah sea anemone)
Lineage: Eukaryota; Metazoa; Cnidaria; Anthozoa; Actiniaria; Actiniidae
Source: RefSeq, a predicted model, not a curated record